ACCGGCAGCUCAAGUGGUGGCUAUUAUUAUUGGGCCUAAAGCGUUCGUAGCCGGUUUGAUAAGUCUCUGGUGAAAUCCCGCAGCUUAACUGUGGGACUUGCUGGAGAUACUAUCAGACUUGAGGUCGGGAGAGGUUAGGGGUACUCCCAGGGUAGGGGUGAAAUCCGAGAAUCCUAGGAGGACCACCAGUGGCGAAGGCGCCUAACUGGACCGUACCUGACGGUGAGUAGCGAAAGCCAGGGGCGCGAACCG
Molecule: ribosomal RNA, 252 nt
Filed under: uncultured prokaryote
Description: partial 16S rRNA
Rfam family: Archaeal small subunit ribosomal RNA
Source: RNAcentral